Molecule: ribosomal RNA, 411 nt
Filed under: uncultured Rhizophagus
Lineage: Eukaryota; Fungi; Glomeromycota; Glomeromycetes; Glomerales; Glomeraceae
Description: partial 28S ribosomal RNA
Source: RNAcentral
GAGAGUUAAACAGUACGUGAAAUUGUUGAAAGGGAAACGAUUGAAGCCAGUCGUACCUAUGGGUAAUCAGCCUUUUGGGUGUGAUUUUGUGGAGCGUGAAGAGUUAAACGCCUUCAUGCCUGCAUAUUCGUGCACUUUGGGUGUACUUGCCCGUGUGUAAGUUAACAUCAAUUUUGGUGGUCAUAAAAUGGCUGGAGGAAUGUAGCUUCGAUCUUGUAUUGAAGUGUUAUAGCCUUCGGUAGAUGUGACGAUCGGGAUUGAGGAUUGCAACGGAUACCCUUCGGGGCUACCUGUCUGAUCUCUGAUUGUUGCUCUGGUGCCGAAAGCUUGCUUACGGUUAUCAAAGUCGAUGGUCAAUAGGUUAGAAUGGGUUAAAUUCGUUAAGGAUGUUGACGUAAUGGCUUUAAACGA